Molecule: transfer RNA, 73 nt
Filed under: Caudoviricetes sp.
Lineage: Duplodnaviria; Heunggongvirae; Uroviricota; Caudoviricetes
Description: tRNA-Pro
Rfam family: tRNA
About the family: Transfer RNA (tRNA) molecules are approximately 80 nucleotides in length. Their secondary structure includes four short double-helical elements and three loops (D, anti-codon, and T loops).
Source: RNAcentral
CUGGGUGUAGCUCAGUUGGUAGAGCGCGUGAUUUGGGAUCACGAGGCCGUGGGAUCGUGCCCCACCACUCAGA